Cyprinus carpio (common carp) is the source of this 1766-nucleotide long non-coding RNA. The record is from Ensembl. Lineage: Eukaryota; Metazoa; Chordata; Actinopteri; Cypriniformes; Cyprinidae.
CCUUCUCAGAAGUUGAGUCUUUGUGUGUGCUGGAGUUAUUUUGAUGCCUGCUUUCUUGAUCAUGAAAUGUUGCUGAUCUUGUUUCCACCUUCUGUCAUUUUUCCCUACAGUUUUCACUUGUUUUGCAUAAUUAGUCAUUCUGUCAUUGAUGUAGGAGAAAAGGUCAUCGGGGUCAGAGGUCAGCCAAAGUAGAAAGUCUGUCGAGCUUUCACUCGGCUUACAUCCAGAUCUAAAAAUAAUCUCCUGUUUAUGCCUAAAAAUGGUCAAAUUAAAAUAAGUGGGACACUAGCUUUUAUUCAGAAAAAAAAAAACAUUGGGUUACAUUAACAAUUUUGAUGUAGACUGAACAACAUACUAAAAAAAAUCUGAUGGCGUUUUCUGUGCUGAGAUUAUGUUUUAAUAUUUUUUUGAUGCCACAAGAUAAUAUAAUCAAUAUAUUCAAAAGAUUCAGGUCGGUAAGUUGUGCUUCUUAUUUAUUGAUUGAUUUAUUUUUUUUAAUUAUUGCUUUUCUUCAGGUCUCUUUAAAAAUUCAAUACAAUUCCUACAGCAACUGACAUAUAUAUACAUGUAUGCAUGUGUAUUUAUUUAGUUAUGUGUAAAGUAAUAUUUUAGAUUUUAAGGGGCUAGGAGGGUAAGAAUGAAAGACAAAGAUGGGGAGAGAAAGAAAGAGGCAAAGAUUGCUGGACUGGAGCAGAUGGAGCAGUCCUUCCUCCAGAUGUUUGAAGGUGCCACUCUCACCUGGAACAUAGCGACAGAUGUGCUAAUUACACACACGGACACACACACACACUUUUCUUUUUUUCUCACAUUUAUUUUCUUCUUCUUGUGCUUUCUCUCUCACACACAAACAAUAAGAUAAAACCCAGUGAAUAUUUCUCGCUAACACCCGAAAGCAAUAUCCAGACGUUCCUGACUUAAAUUUUUUUCAGUUAUUUUAAGUAUUUAUGAGUUUUUGAGAGGAGCAGAGAGUGUAUGUGUUUUUCAGCAGAGAAGAGGUUUUUGCUUGAGUCUGAGGUUUAGAAUUUGUAAAUGAAAAAGGGCUCACUCUGACCCAGGGGCAGAUCACGCGCACACACUGCAGAAGAGGCUGACAGGCUCAUCUCAGAGACAAAGCAGUGUGCAGGAGAGCAAACGCGGUUUGGAGAGCAAAUUCAACUGUUCUGCUAGUGAGUUCACAUUAAGCUGUCCCUGGAUCAGUGGCUUGAUGAACUGGGUUAGUUCACAGACAGAACCGGAACAUUGAUUAAUGCAGGUAAAGACUGUCAGCAGCCUGAAAUUAAUAUCUAGAAAAAAAUGACCAGAAGUUGCUAUUGGGUUUUAUAGCAAGGGCAGUGUGUUCUCGCAAUCGGCAAUAAUAAUUAAACAAUCCCUCAUUAACCCACUUGAUCCCAAACGGUGUGUUUUAGUAUUGUUUACAUAUUGUAUGCUAUUUUUAUAUUUUGUUGACAUUUUAUGUUGUUUUAUUAGCUUUUAAAUCUCUAUAGCUUUUAGUUUUAGUAAUUUGAGAAAUUCAGUUUACACUUAGGGCCUACUGUAUUUUCAGUACUUGCCAAAGCAACAUUUCUAAUUUUCAUUUACAUAAAAAUACUUCAUCUAAUGUCUACAUUUAUUUAUUAUAUAUUUUUAGAUAUUUUAUUUCAGCCAUUUUCCUUUACUGAAAAACGUUUUUAACCGUUUCAGUUAACCUGCUAUGUGAGCACAUGUAUUUUACUCCUUGGUUUAACUGAUGCAAUAAACUUUAUGCCUACAGAGUUUAAAAGAUGUUG